UGGGGAAUAUUGGACAAUGGGCGCAAGCCUGAUCCAGCCAUGCCGCGUGAGUGAUGAAGGCCCUAGGGUUGUAAAGCUCUUUCACCGGUGAAGAUAAUGACGGUAACCGGAGAAGAAGCCCCGGCUAACUUCGUGCCAGCAGCCGCGGUAAUACGAAGGGGGCUAGCGUUGUUCGGAUUUACUGGGCGUAAAGCGCACGUAGGCGGACUUUUAAGUCAGGGGUGAAAUCCCGGGGCUCAACCCCGGAACUGCCUUUGAUACUGGAAGUCUUGAGUAUGGUAGAGGUGAGUGGAAUUCCGAGUGUAGAAGUGAAAUUCGUAGAUAUUCGGAGGAACACCAGUGGCGAAGGCGGCUCACUGGACCAUUACUGACGCUGGGGUGCGAAAGCGUGGGGAGCAAACAGG
This 404-nucleotide ribosomal RNA is filed under the name Actinomycetes bacterium. Its description in RNAcentral is "Actinobacteria bacterium partial 16S ribosomal RNA". It matches the Rfam family "Bacterial small subunit ribosomal RNA", at positions 355 to 776 of the family's 1533-position model. Lineage: Bacteria; Bacillati; Actinomycetota; Actinomycetes. The record is from RNAcentral.